Molecule: ribosomal RNA, 87 nt
Filed under: Lactobacillus sp. W8173
Lineage: Bacteria; Bacillati; Bacillota; Bacilli; Lactobacillales; Lactobacillaceae
Also listed under: 2 other names
Description: partial 23S ribosomal RNA
Rfam family: Bacterial large subunit ribosomal RNA
Source: RNAcentral
CAAAGACUAAGAGGUAGAUAGGCUGGGAGUGGAAGAGCCGCGAGGCUUGGAGCGGACCAGUACUAAUCAGUCGAGGACUUGACCAAA